UUAUUAUAAUUUUUUAAUUCUUUUUUAUUUUUAUUAUUUUUAGUAUUUUUAUUAACUAAUUAAAUAUUAAAACUGUUAAGGUUAAUUUUAUUUAUAAUUAAAGAAUUUAUUAGUACCUUUUGUAUCAGGGUUAAUUUAAUAAUAUAAUUAUUUUUUUUUCCCGAAUUUAAGUUAUUUAUGUUUAAAUUAUUGUAUAUGUUGAAUAUUAUUUAUUAAUUUAGAUAUAAUAGUUAUAAGUUAUUUGAACUUAACUAUAUCUGGUUAUUUAGGAUAAAUUUUAAUUUUGGAUUUAUUUUUAAUUUUAUUAAAAUUUAUAAUUCUUAAUUUAUUUAGGAAAAUCUAAAUAAUUAUUUAUAAUUUAUUUUUUUAAAUUCUUAUAAAGUUUAGAAGUUUCUAUAAAGUUUUUAAUAAAUUAAUUUUUUUAUUUAUUUUUUAUUUAAAUUUAAAUUUUUACUAAGUUUAAUUAAUUAAUUUAUUUUUAUUUAUAAUAAUGAUUAAAUUAGUAUAUUUUUAAUAUAAAAUUUUAUGAAUUAGACAAAAUUAAUUUUCAACUGUUUAUUAAAAACAUUUCUUUUUGUAAUAUUUAAAAAGUAACUUCUGCUCUGUGAAUAAUUAAAUAGCUGCAGUAUUUUGACUGUACAAAGGUAGCAUAAUAAUUUGAUUCUUAAUUGGGAUCUGGAAUGAAUGAAUAUAUGAGAAAUUAUUUUUAUUAAAUUUAAAAAUUGAAUUUUAUUUUUUAGUAAAAAAGCUAAAAUUUUUUUUAGUGACGAAAAGACCCUAUAGAAUUUAAAUUUUUUAUUCUUUUAUUUUGUUAUUUUAUAAUUUAAGUAUAUAAUAUUUUUGUUGGGGUGAUAAUUAAAUUUAAACUUUAUUUUAUUAUUUCAUUAUAUUUGAUUGCUUGAUCCAUAAUUAUAUGAUUAUAAGAUAAAAUUACCUUAGGGAUAACAGCGUUAUUUUUAUUAGGAGUUCUUAUCUAUAUAAAAGUUUACGACCUCGAUGUUGAAUUAAGAAAAUUUUAUGGUGAAGUAGCUUUAAUAUUAAGUCUGUUCGACUUUUAAAUUCUUACAUGAUUUGAGUUUAAACCGGUGUAAGCCAGGUUGGUUUCUAUCUUAAAAUUAAUUAUCUUUUUUAGUACGAAAGGACCAUAAAGUUUUAUUUAAAUAAUU
This 1166-nucleotide ribosomal RNA is filed under the name Trocnadella arisana. RNAcentral describes it as "16S ribosomal RNA". Lineage: Eukaryota; Metazoa; Arthropoda; Insecta; Hemiptera; Cicadellidae. The record is from RNAcentral.